Molecule: non-coding RNA, 108 nt
Organism: Apodospora peruviana
Lineage: Eukaryota; Fungi; Ascomycota; Sordariomycetes; Sordariales; Lasiosphaeriaceae
Source: the annotation of a GenBank genome assembly
GGCUCGGUAGUGUAGUGGGCAGCACGAUGACAGAUGAAAACCUUCCCUCGAGGCUGGGGUGGGAAAUGGCGUUGUUCAAGGCGUUGGGUUCGAUUCCCACCUGGGUCU